Molecule: long non-coding RNA, 729 nt
Organism: Zingiber officinale
Lineage: Eukaryota; Viridiplantae; Streptophyta; Magnoliopsida; Zingiberales; Zingiberaceae
Exons: 2
Source: RefSeq, a predicted model, not a curated record
UCUUUUCCCCACUCGAUCGAAGCAGAUCUUCUCCCCUAAACCCUCGGCGCUGAACCCUUUGCCCCUGCCCGUGCCCUAGCUCCCCACACGGCGCCGAGUUUCUUCUUCUCCGCCGAUCUCUCCCUCACGCGAGCCACGCGUGCUGACUCCUCCCCGAGCCCUCUCACGACGCUGCCUCCUUCACCGAGCCUCUUCUCCCCAGGCUGUUGCCGGUUCUCUUCUCCGUCGAGCCAUAGCCGCUAAGUUCCCACACCUGAGCCGACCUUUCUUCCUCGCUCAAGCACCACAUACAGCCGCCGACCUCUCCUCACACGAGCGUCGCGGCCGACGAUCUUCCUCCUCUUCUCCCUCGAGCCACGGCCGCAGCUCCCUUUCCCUCAGGCGAGCACCAGAGCCGCGACCCUCCCCUCUCCUCCAUCUCUCUCGGAUCAGCCCAGGCAGAGCCCUGUCGCCAACAGAGUUGUGCCCUAACUGACCAGUAGAUGAGUCAUGGAUGCUUGGAGAGUUCCGGCUGCCAGUCCCACAUCACACUCGAGGAUAGUUUUCUUUUUGGUUUUGUUAUCGUUCGGGUGGUAUGUUGAUUUUGUGUAUUUUGCUUUUCAAUAAGUCGAUGUGAGUUUUGGAGUCAAGUCUGGUGAUUGUAGGUAUUUUGUUAGUGUCGUUGUUGGUCUUACGUUCAUAUUAUUUUGUAUUUUCCGCUGCGUUUACUAAUAGUCGUGUGGGCUGUUA